RNAcentral lists this ribosomal RNA (254 nucleotides) under uncultured bacterium. RNAcentral's name for it is "partial 16S ribosomal RNA". It matches the Rfam family "Bacterial small subunit ribosomal RNA", at positions 524 to 776 of the family's 1533-position model. The record is from RNAcentral.
UACAGAGGUCCCGAGCGUUGUUCGGAUUCACUGGGCGUAAAGGGUGCGCAGGUGGGUUGGCAAGUUUGAUGUGAAAGCCCCGGGCUCAACCUGGGAAUGGCAUUGGAAACUGGCGAGCUAGAGUGUGGCAGAGGGGGGUGGAAUUCCGCGUGUAGCAGUGAAAUGCGUAGGAGAUGCGGCGGAACACCGAUGGCGAAGGCAGCCCCCUGGGCUGAGAUUGACGCUCAGGCACGAAAGCGUGGGGAGCAAACAGG